GUAUUAGGAAGGUGGGAUGAUCUUUGUUGUAUUAGGAAGGUGGGAUGAUCUUUGUUGUAUUAGGAAGGUGGGAUGAUCUUUGCUGUAUGGUAUUAGGAAGGUGGGAUGAUCUUUGCUGUAUGGUAUUAGGAAGGUGGGAUGAUCUUUGUUGUAUUAGGAAGGUGGGAUGAUCUUUGCUGUAUUAGGAAGGUGGGAUGAUCUUUGCUGUAUUAGGAAGGUGGGAUGAUCUUUGCUGUACGGUAUUAGGAAGGUGGGAUGAUCUUUGUUGUAUUAGGAAGGUGGGAUGAUCUUUGUUGUAUUAGGAAGGUGGGAUGAUCUUUGCUGUACGGUAUUAGGAAGGUGGGAUGAUCUUUGUUGUAUUAGGAAGGUGGGAUGAUCUUUGCUGUAUGGUAUUAGGAAGGUGGGAUGAUCUUUGUUGUAUUAGGAAGGUGGGAUGAUCUUUGUUGUAUUAGGAAGGUGGGAUGAUCUUUGCUGUAUGGUAUUAGGAAGGUGGGAUGAUCUUUGUUGUAUUAGGAAGGUGGGAUGAUCUUUGCUGUAUUAGGAAGGUGGGAUGAUCUUUGCUGUAUUAGGAAGGUGGGAUGAUCUUUGCUGUACGGUAUUAGGAAGGUGGGAUGAUCUUUGUUGUAUUAGGAAGGUGGGAUGAUCUUUGUUGUAUUAGGAAGGUGGGAUGAUCUUUGCUGUAUGGUAUUAGGAAGGUGGGAUGAUCUUUGUUGUAUUAGGAAGGUGGGAUGAUCUUUGUUGUAUUAGGAAGGUGGGAUGAUCUUUGCUGUAUUAGGAAGGUGGGAUGAUCUUUGUUGUAUUAGGAAGGUGGGAUGAUCUUUGCUGUAUUAGGAAGGUGGGAUGAUCUUUGCUGUAUGGUAUUAGGAAGGUGGGAUGAUCUUUGUUGUAUUAGGAAGGUGGGAUGAUCUUUGUUGUAUUAGGAAGGUGGGAUGAUCUUUGCUGUAUGGUAUUAGGAAGGUGGGAUGAUCUUUGUUGUAUUAGGAAGGUG
Biomphalaria glabrata is the source of this 988-nucleotide long non-coding RNA. RefSeq lists it as uncharacterized. The transcript has 5 exons. Lineage: Eukaryota; Metazoa; Mollusca; Gastropoda; Planorbidae. The record is from RefSeq and is a predicted model, not a curated record.